This 567-nucleotide ribosomal RNA is filed under the name Salmonella enterica subsp. enterica serovar Infantis. Its description in RNAcentral is "bacterial SSU rRNA". It matches the Rfam family "Bacterial small subunit ribosomal RNA", at positions 1 to 557 of the family's 1533-position model. The record is from RNAcentral. Lineage: Bacteria; Pseudomonadati; Pseudomonadota; Gammaproteobacteria; Enterobacterales; Enterobacteriaceae. RNAcentral also lists the same sequence under 1 other name.
AAAUUGAAGAGUUUGAUCAUGGCUCAGAUUGAACGCUGGCGGCAGGCCUAACACAUGCAAGUCGAACGGUAACAGGAAGCAGCUUGCUGCUUCGCUGACGAGUGGCGGACGGGUGAGUAAUGUCUGGGAAACUGCCUGAUGGAGGGGGAUAACUACUGGAAACGGUGGCUAAUACCGCAUAACGUCGCAAGACCAAAGAGGGGGACCUUCGGGCCUCUUGCCAUCAGAUGUGCCCAGAUGGGAUUAGCUUGUUGGUGAGGUAACGGCUCACCAAGGCGACGAUCCCUAGCUGGUCUGAGAGGAUGACCAGCCACACUGGAACUGAGACACGGUCCAGACUCCUACGGGAGGCAGCAGUGGGGAAUAUUGCACAAUGGGCGCAAGCCUGAUGCAGCCAUGCCGCGUGUAUGAAGAAGGCCUUCGGGUUGUAAAGUACUUUCAGCGGGGAGGAAGGUGUUGCGGUUAAUAACCGCAGCAAUUGACGUUACCCGCAGAAGAAGCACCGGCUAACUCCGUGCCAGCAGCCGCGGUAAUACGGAGGGUGCAAGCGUUAAUCGGAAUUACUGG